This 253-nucleotide ribosomal RNA is filed under the name uncultured bacterium. Its description in RNAcentral is "partial 16S ribosomal RNA". It matches the Rfam family "Bacterial small subunit ribosomal RNA", at positions 524 to 776 of the family's 1533-position model. The record is from RNAcentral.
UACGUAGGUGGCGAGCGUUGUCCGGAUUUACUGGGCGUAAAGGGAGCGUAGGCGGACUUUUAAGUGAGAUGUGAAAUACUCGGGCUCAACUUGAGUGCUGCAUUUCAAACUGAAAGUCUAGAGGGCAGGAGAGGAGAAUGGAAUUCCUAGUGUAGCGGUGAAAUGCGUAGAGAUUAGGAAGAACACCAGUGGCGAAGGCGAUUCUCUGGACUGUAACUGACGCUGAGGCUCGAAAGCGUGGGGAGCAAACAGG